RNAcentral lists this ribosomal RNA (253 nucleotides) under uncultured bacterium. Its description in RNAcentral is "partial 16S ribosomal RNA". It matches the Rfam family "Bacterial small subunit ribosomal RNA", at positions 524 to 776 of the family's 1533-position model. The record is from RNAcentral.
UACGGGGGGGGCAAGCGUUGUUCGGAAUUACUGGGCGUAAAGGGCUCGUAGGUGGCCAACUAAGUCAUACGUGAAAUCCCUCGGCUUAACCGGGGAACUGCGUCUGAUACUGGAUGGCUUGAGGUUGGGAGAGGGAUGCGGAAUUCCAGGUGUAGUGGUGAAAUGCGUAGAUAUCUGGAGGAACACCGGUGGCGAAGGCGGCAUCCUGGACCAAUUCUGACACUGAGGAGCGAAAGCCAGGGGAGCAAACGGG